UACGAAGGGGGCUAGCGUUGUUCGGAAUUACUGGGCGUAAAGCGUAUGCAGGCGGGUCGAUAAGUCAGUGGUGAAAUCCCGAGGCUCAACCUCGGAACUGCCUCUGAUACUGUCGAUCUUGAGUCCGGGAGAGGUGAGUGGAACUGCGAGUGUAGAGGUGAAAUUCGUAGAUAUUCGCAAGAACACCAGUGGCGAAGGCGGCUCACUGGCCCGGUACUGACGCUGAGAUACGAAAGCGUGGGGAGCAAACAGG
RNAcentral lists this ribosomal RNA (253 nucleotides) under uncultured bacterium. Its description in RNAcentral is "partial 16S ribosomal RNA". It matches the Rfam family "Bacterial small subunit ribosomal RNA", at positions 524 to 776 of the family's 1533-position model. The record is from RNAcentral.